This 9995-nucleotide long non-coding RNA is filed under the name Lathyrus oleraceus (garden pea). RNAcentral's name for it is "Pisum sativum (pea) long non-coding RNA (PSAT_LNC030974)". Lineage: Eukaryota; Viridiplantae; Streptophyta; Magnoliopsida; Fabales; Fabaceae. The record is from RNAcentral.
AUUUAUUUUCAGGGCAACAAUGGCAUCCAUCUCAGCUGUGAAUAUUUCCCCACUAUGCAUGUUUCAACCCGCAAACCGCAUUCAAUCAACCAGUGCUACCUUAGUGAAGUGCCCUUCCGCUUUUGGCUCUAUGAGAAGUGUUUCCAGAUCUUUUGGCUUGAAGUCAUCCUCUUCAUAUAGAACAACUGCCAUGGCUGCUUACAAGAUUAAGCUAAUUGGACCAGAUGGAAAAGAGGACGAGUUUGAAGCUGCUGAUGAUGUCUACAUCUUAGAUGCAGCAGAGAAUGCCGGAGUCGAACUCCCUUACUCGUGCCGUGCUGGAGCGUGCUCUACUUGUGCUGGAAAGGUUGUUUCUGGCUCAGUGGAUCAAUCUGAUGGCUCAUUCUUGGAUGAUACUCAACUUAAGGAAGGCUUUGUGCUUACCUGUGUUUCCUAUCCCACAGCAGACUGUGUUAUCCAAACUCAUAAGGAAGGUGAACUCUACUGAGAAAUUGUGGCUUGAAAGUUAAAACCAUUGCUCGAGGAAACUGAGAAUUUAAGGUAGAUUUUAUGGCGGAUUUUGCUUUAGAAUCUAUCUUUCUUUUAGCAUUAUUAAUAGUGAUAUGGGUUUUAGAAGAUGGUAAGUUUGACAUUUAAAUGUGAUCAAGGGUGUUAUUUUAGUUAUGAAGAACAUGAUGAAGUAUUUGGAGGAAGAAACAACCUUUCAUAAUUGGUAGAGAAAUUUCACUUUCUUUUUAAAAUAAACAAAAUCUAUCUUGUUAUAUCAAUUGUCAAUAGCUGCUAUUUUAACUUACCUAAACAUAUUUCAUUAAUUGAAAGAUGUGGCAAUUUUCAACUAGGGAAUAAGUUGUUAUAGUUUAUUUUUUCAGUUGGUUUAAAUUAAGUUAAAUAUAUAAAAUAUAACCUGCAUAACUCAAUUUAAAUAGUAACUAUUUUUUUGAUACGUAUAACAGUGAGAAAGCUAGCAAAUUUGAAGAUUUGAUAUUAUUGUCCUUUGCAAUGUUUACCUAUGUAUGUUUCAAAAUUCAAAGAACAAUAUAUUAGUUUGAUUUUUAAAAUCAUUUUGACAAAACUUCGAUUUUAAAUAGAUUUUGAUUUUAAUCAAAAUUAUUUAAUUUAAUUUAAAUUUUAUUUUUUUUAAAUUAAUAUUAAUUUUUAAAAUUUAAAACCAUAAAUAAAUUUUAUGAGAUUUUAAAAUAUUAUUUCUUUUAAAAUUUAAAAAAACAUAAAAGAAACAAAUUCUUUAGAAAAAAAAUUGAAAUAAUAAAAUUAUUUUCUGAAAAUGAAAAAAAAAAAUUGAAAACAAAAAAAAUCUUUAAAAAAAGUUAUUCCAAAAAAUAAAAAUAACUGAAAAAAAUUUAUUUAAAGAAAAAUGGAAAUUGGAAAUAAAAAAAUUAUAAAAAUACAAAAUAUUUUUUAUUCUGAAAUUAUAAAAAAUUAUUAUUUAAAUUUUUUUUUUGAAAUUAAAUUUUUUUUUAUUCUGAAAAUUUGAAAAAUUAAUUUACUGAAAAAAAUAUAAAAUAUUUUUUAUUUAGAAGAAAAUAAUAAUUUUAUUUGAAAAAAAUAUUAAAUUAAAAAAAUUCUGAAUAUAAUAUUUUUUGUAAAAAAAUAUUUUUAAAAUAAUUUUUUUAUGAAAUUUAAAAAUAUUUAAAAUAUAAAAUUAAUUUUAAUGUGAUAAAAAUGGAAAGAGACAAAAAUAAAAAUUUUAGUAAAAUUUAGAUAUCCAAUAACAAAACCUAAUUUUUAUAAUGGAUAACAGUUUAUAUUUGAAUAACAAAAUGAAUAUUCAAAUUUUUAUUUUAAUAUUUGGUUUGAUUUUUUAAAAAUAGAAUAAUUUAAUACUAAUUUAAUUAUGAAUAAACCGUUUUUUUUCACAUCCCUAUAUAUCAUAGUCAUUUUUCUUGCUAACUAAAUAUUUAUUUUCACAGCUUAUAAAAUAUUUUGCCAUGUCAGCAUCUGUAAUAAAUUAUACGAAUUAAAAAAAAGGAUAAAAAUAAUGCUUUCCAACCACAAAUCAAAUUUAAGAAUCUAUUACUAGUAAAAUAAGUGUUAACAUCUUAUACCGUCCACUUGAAAUAAUUGAUUUAUAAUUAGUUUUAUAAAAAUUAAAUAUUUAAACACUAAUAUAUUUUACUCCAAAAAGUAUAAUAACAUAUAUAACAAAUUAUUUAUACAAUAGCAACUAAGUUUUAUUCCACUAAUAUGGUCUUAUCUUCUGGACUAUAGUUUUUUUUAAGUGUUUCUCUAUAUCUAAGUGUUUGAUUCAUUUUCAUUUAACAUAUCUUCUUUAGAAAAUUGCGUAAGACAUCAUAAAGAUUGUUACUAUACUUUCGUAAAAAAAUAAAAAUAUUUUUAAGAUUCAGAGAUGUAUUGUUAGACUAAUCCCAAAUAUAUUUGGUUCUCAGUCUGAUCUUAAGACUAUGUAAAAAAAAUUACGGAAAUUAAUCUUCCUAUAAAUUAUGGAGAUGCUUCUCUUGACACUAUUUUAAUAAAAAAUACGUCAGAUUCUUUCUCAUUCCUCGCUUUUUAAAAUACUCUCUCAACUCCUAUUCUCUCAUAGUCAUUCAACUCACUUUAAAUUUUCUUUCAUCAACAUCAAAUCGAUCAAAGAGUUUACUCAACAUCAAACUAAACUCACAAUUGAUAAGUUUAUGAUUUUUUUUUUUAAUUUCUAUAUACAUUUGUAGGAAUUGAGCAUUAAGUUAUGUAAUAUGUAAUUUAGAUAUGUUAGUGAAAUGAAUAAUGUGUUUAAUAGAUAGUUUAAAUGAUCAAUGCAUUAUUUUGGAUGUUGGUAUAAACUGCAUUUCCGCCAUUAACAUGCUUUUGAGUUGUAGUACCUUAUGGAGAUGCAUCUCUAGAUUUUUUCAAUGUUUUGAUUUCUAGAAUCUAGAGAUGUAUCUCCGGAACUUUUUCAGUUUGCUUUGUUUGGCUUGAUCUCAUUGUGUUUCAUAUGUAUAAUGCUUGUGUGAUUUACUUACAGACAAUAUGGUUGAUAACCUAGAUAGAUUGAGGCAUAACAGAGUUGCACAUCAUGCAUAGAGGGAAAAAGCUCGCUCAUCGCAUGCACCUGUUGUUUUUAGCCCGAUUGAUGCGAGAGCGUCAACUUUUGAGGCUCAUGCAUUUCCACCUUACAUGUGUCACCUACUCAGACACCUGAGGCACUGGAGGCACCUAAGGCUCCGCAGGCACCUGAGGCACACGAGGGAUUUGGAGGAGGUCCUUCAGACUUAUUACUCCUGCGUCUAUACCCGAACCAUGAUGCCAGACAUGUCUAGGACGGAAAGGUAAAAUUAAGUUGUAUUCCUUCUUUGAAAUAUCAUUUUUAUAAUAUUCGAAGUUUUCGACGAUGAGUUAUUUUCCUGCAGGACCAUGAUGCCUUAAAAUUUAUCAACCAUGGUCAAAAGAUUACGGGUCAACAACAACCUAAUGAGCAUUGGUCUAAGGAUGUGAUGCAACUAUCUGGGCUGAGAGACUUAUGCAAUAUCGAUUAUGUUACAGUUAACCAUGGUAUGCUAUCAACAUUUGUAGAGAGCACUCGAAGACGACAUCAUUUCAUUUUUCACACAGUGAGAUGUUUAUCACACUAGACGAUGUCUCGUGCCUGCUGCAUCUUUCGAUCAUGGGGAGACUGUUAGAUUACAACAAAAUUAACAUAGAUGACACAAUGGAGACGAUUGUAGACUAGCUUGGAGCUGACCCAGAGAAUGCCAUGCCAUACAUCGAAAAAUCCAUGAGCGCAUCGCACGCUCGAAGAUACAACAGAGUCGCCACCGAACUAUAUUUAUUCUAAAAGGAAAGAGAAAAUAUCGAUAAAAUCCAAGGGAAAGAGAAAUGGGUAAGGAAGUCGGUUAUGCAAGGGGAGGGUAUUAACAUCCCUCACAUUUGUUGUACUUAACGAGAACCAUUUUUAUUGUUCUUUGCUUGAAUGUGUGUUACUAUCUAAAGGUUACUUGCAAAUGAUAAAAGGGAAAAAAUAAGUUUAUAGUUAGUGUGCUCACCAAGGAUUCAAACCCUCGGGCCUACGUAUUCUCACAAUGCAAUGAGAAAAUCAGAGCUCCGUAGUUCGUGGUAGAAAAUAUAGAUUUGUUGGUUGAUUUUAGGGAACAAUUAUAAUCAUAUUCUAGAAGUGUAUAGACGUUAGCUGAUUAUGAUCCUUGUUCGGAUGCUCUAAACUUUUAGUCUGACUGCUAAUGAACAUAUUAUAACAGUUCUUUUGUGAAAAGAAAGAAAAUUGUUUUGAAAAAACGUUUGUGUGAUAAAAGAAAAAGAAAGAGUUGCUUGAAUAUAAUUAAAAGAAAAGUUGCUUGAACUGUAAAAUAAUUUGAAGUGUAAGAAGAGGAGUAGGAAAUGUAGAAAUGGGUGUGAAAUGUGUUGUGAAAUGACAAAGAAGUUGUUUGUGUAUGGUGACAGUAUUGUUUGAACCAAAAUUAUGUUGUUUGGACCCAUAAGAUAGGUGUGUCUGAGCCAAGGAGUGUGUAAACUAAGGAUGGGGUAUUUUAACCGAUAAACGGUGAUUAACCAUGCAUGAGGGUGUGUUAACCAAGGAGUGGUGAUUAACCCAUGAAUGAAAAUAUGUGGUAUUUUAACCAAUAGACGGUGAUUAACCAAUGCAGGAGUUAUAGGGUUUGUUAAUCGAGAAGUGGUGAUCAACCCAAAGAAUGAGAAUGUGGUAUUUUAACUGAUAUCCGGUGAUUAACCAAUGCGGAAAGUUGCCUGAGCAUGGAGGUAAUAUGGCAAUGCAUGAAAAAAUAACUUCAUCUUCUUCACUUCCAUGUUUGUCUUAUUCUUCUAAGCUUCCAUUGCUUUGCUCCACCACCGGAGGCGGAAGAGUUUUCCGGAACAGUCAAGUUGCAACAUAAAAAAUGCUCAUAUCCAUCUCCUCUUUAUAUAUAUCUCAUCAAUUCAAUUCACCACUCAACCAAUUUUCAGAAUUGCAUCAAGAAAGUGAUGAACCCUAACCUCUAAAACAAAAAUUAAAUGAUAGAGGGGAAGAAUCAAGCCGCCAAACCUUGGGGCUUUGUUUCUUCAAUGCAAGAGCUACAUUAUGGUAUCAAGAUUCAAGCAAACUGAGGCAAAAGAAAAUUCACCGACAUGCAAGACAUAGGUUUGUCUUGGAAAUUGUUGAAAUCUGAAGGUGCUGAAGAUGAAGAAAACCAGAGGUAUGCUACUUUGAACCUUUAAUCUUUUGCUUCUGCAAUGAACUUAUUCCUCUUCAAGAAUUAAUUACGUAAAAUUAUGAACUAGAUUAUUGCUGCUAUUGUUGAUUGUAUGAGUAUGAGAGUAGUAUGGAGUGUAGAAGGUUUAGCUCAAAUGGUGACAAACUUCAAUGUGAAGCUUGCUCCAAUGGUGGUAGAGCUUUGGUGAGGCGAGGGAGAUAAAUUGAGAGAGACAAUUCUGAAUUUAUAGUGGAAUGUUUAGAGAAUGAAUGAUUAUGGUGGUUGUUAUUAUCGUUGUUAUUGGUUGAAGAGUGUGGUGAGUUUAUAUAGAUGAAUUUCCCAACUGUUUCGGGCAUCUCUGUUAGAGGUUAGGGCAACAGUUAGUGUUAAUGGAUUCCAAGAGUAAGUUGGUUAUGAAAUUAACAGAGUUAGAGUUUCUGUUAGAUUGAAUUUGACAAUUGGAAUGGUCAAUGAAGUGGCAUUUAGGAACUGUUAUGACAUGUUGGUGAGGUUAGGAUUGAAGUGAAUUAGUGUAGUUCAAGUGUUGGUGAAUGUUUGUGAUGUUGUUGUAAUGCUUAGUUCAAAGAUAGGAAACUGCUAGUGUUGUUGCAUCAUGUUCAUGUGUUGUUAUGUGAACAUGUUAUAGGAAUUGGACUUGUUUUUUAGGGUUUAAAAUGGGACUGUGAUGCUGAAAUUAAGCUGAAAAUUGAAAAAUUAGCAGGUGUAACCGGUUACCGGGUUUUGUGUAAUCGGUUACUAGAAUGAAAAAAGGUGUUCUGGGUUGCUGAAUAAGUUGAUGAAACACAUGUGUAACCGGUUACCAGGUUUUGUGUAACCGGUUACCAUAAUGCAAACAUGCCUCUGGGUGUUGGAGAAAUACAUGUAGCCGGUUACUAAAAUGAAAACUUGGCUUUCUGGUGAGCUGAAGUAGGUGUAACUGAUUACCAGGUUAUCAACUCAAAAAUUGGCCCUUUUUAGUGUUUUGGUGCAUUGACUCAUGUGUGAAGCAUAAGGUUUUGGCCUUUUUCUCAAUGUACAUGUGAUUUUGCAGGGUUGGUGUUAUAUGUUUGUCGUGAAGCAUUAUCUAUGAAGGUUCAGCAAGAGGUGUGGAUUUGACAAGAAGAUAGACCAGGGCUUAGGAUAGGUUGACCUUGGUAAACUAUUUGACCAAAAAGUCAACAGUUGACCAAAGGUCAACUGUAAGUCAAAAAGAUGAAAUUUUGUAUGCAAAUUUGUAAUUUGGAUCCUUUGUAAUGAAAUAGAUUUUGAAAUGAAAGGUGUAUGUAAAUUUUGUUUCAAGAAAGCAAGGUUCCCUUCCAAAUUUACAUCUCUGAAUAUUUGAAUUUGCCUUGAAUAUGACUUUGAAUGAACCUAGAAUUUGAAUUUCUUGAUCACUUGAAUGAAGUGAUAUGCCAUGGAUCAAACAAAUCAAAGCCCAAGAUAAUCAUUAUCUUCCAUAUACUAUGCCAUGAUGUAAUCAACACAACCACAAGCAUAUACCGAAGAUUAAAGUUCCACAAACUUGAUUUACAAGAAAUGAAUCAACCAUCAUUGUUGUGCCAACAUCACUUUUGUAUCAUAAUUAUCAAAACUCUUGAAUCAAUGAUGUUUAUAUGAAGAAUGAAUGCAUAUGGCAUGGGCAUGCAAAUGAACUGAGGAAAGAAAUGAAUCAACCAUCAUUGUUGUGCCAACAUCACUUUUGUAUCAUAAUUAUCAAAACUCUUGAAUCAAUGAUGUUUAUAUGAAGAAUGAAUGCAUAUGGCAUGGGCAUGCAAAUGAACUGAGGGUUAAAAGUCAGAUGAAAAAUGAAAAAGGGAGGACAAAUUUUGGGGUAUGAUAGUUGCCCAUAUUUAAUCUUCUUUGACCUGUAUGUACGAAUGGUGAUGACCGUUCGGGAACUUAAGGUAGAAGAGGAUUAAGGGCUCAUUUGUUUUGGCUUUUUUUAAAUGAUUUUUAUAGUGUUACAUAUUUUAGUGUAAAAAAAAUUUACAAAGAAACUUUUCAUAAAAGUUUCAAAUUAAAAUUUGGUUUGAAUAGUUAUUCUUAAAAUAUUAUUUUAGAUAUUUUAUCAUUUUAUCGAAACUUUUUUUGGAUAUCAAAUUUUCAAAAAAUCACUUAAUUUUGAAGCUAUUUCAAUUAGCUUUUCAUAAAAAUCAUUUUUAAGAUACACUUUUUUGAAAAAAAUUUGUGAUUUCGACUAUGUUUUGAUAUUCAAUAAUAUAUAUUUAUGUUAUAGAAUGAACAAUUCAAUCUUUUAAUUUAUAAAAAACAAAUUUAAAAAACUUAUAAUAUUUUAAAAGACAUUUUUGUAGAAUCCAUUUUCAAAAAUACAAAGAAAAAAUCCAUUUUUUUAAAGUUAAAACAAAUUGGCCCUAAAUACAAGAAUAUCCAAAAAUUUGUCUGUGAGGAUGGAGUGAAUGAGGUGUGAGGAAGGGAAGUGUAUUGGGUAUUUGUUUAUGACAGGUAAACUUUUGUGAUGUCAUCUGAUGGGGAUUGAAUGAAAUAUUAUGUUGGGGAAAUAACUUAGUCGCAAGGGAAAUGUUUGAUAUGCAUGAUAUAUGUGUAAUACCCCAAAAUUUACCCUUCAUUCUUCUUGGAAGCAUGAGAUUGUGUUUCACAUUGCAUUAGCAUCAUACUAGGUCAUACUCAUUGCAUAUUGCAUUAGUGACUUGGGAAAUCAGGGUUUUAUUGAUCACUCCUCAACAGAAGGAGCCUACACAGAGCAAGACUGAGAAUUUAACUUCAUUCUCCAAUUAUACAAGUCUCAAAGAGUUCCAUAUGUCUUAUUAUGUUCCUCAGUUCAUCAGUGGGAGAUUCAGAACUCUCAGAGUGUGCAUAUGGAGUUAAUCAGAAAUCAGGGUUUCAAGUUGUGGCGGAAAUUGGGUUGGAGAGAAGCGUAAUCGAAGAUUUCUUUGGCGAGAAGAGGGUCUGAUUGGGAAGCAAUGAGUUUCUGGACUCUGGUUGGAGAACCGAUUGGAGAAGAAGAAGAAGAAUGGAAUUGGUGUUGCAGUGAAGAAGAAGAUGAUGAGAAUACGCCAUUUGAAGCAAUGGUUCUUAGAUUUUUUGAUAACACUGUAAACGAUCGGUGCAUCGUUUUUUCAGAUAACUGACAACAGAGUGAAUGAGUGAAUGAGUGAAGCAAUGGUUUGGCGGCGAGUAGCGAAUCUGUGGGUGGGUGGGUUAAACAUAUUCCUUCGUUCCAACAACAAACAACUAUACUAUUUAUUUAUUUAUUUAUUUAUUUAUUUAUUACGCCCAAUAAAAUAAUAAUAAUAAAAAUAAAUAAAUAGAACCUAAAACCCAUCACUCUCUCUCACUUCGUUUUUUCCGCUUCCAUCUCUAACCAACGCAACCACCACCGUCUUCUCCUCUGUAAGCUCUUCCAUUCUUCAUCACUUUUUCUUUAAUAUAGAUUUUACUAUUAUUAAUAUACUCUGCAAUUUAUCUCAACUAGUUAUGCUAUUACUAUACCCUUCAUCAAAUCAAACCUUCAUCAGGGUUUAUCUUUCUUCAUAAAUCUCAUCAUUUUCUACCAAAAACUAUCUUCAGUUAUUCAUUAUAUCCUUUAGGAAUCUAGGUGUUGUUAAUUAUUCUUGAAACAAACCAAGAAAUCUCUAUUUGAUGGGGUUUUGGGGUUUGAUUUGACAGCUCUAGGGUUUUGUCAUUUUGUGCUUAUGAUUUUGUUUUUUUUGUUAUUGUGCUUGGCUGGGAUUUUGAUCUCGUUGGAGAUUUUCCUGCAAAGACACAAUCUUUCAUUGUUUUGUUGAUUGGGCACAAAUCAUAUUUUGAAGGUGUUCCGGUGAGGUGAGUAUCCGGUGGUCCGUGUAUGACAUGUGUCGAUGUCAAUAUGUGUGGUUACUUCCGUUACUUUCAUUUUUAAAAAAAUUCUUAUUGGUGCUUUGUGUUUCAAUCGGUGUUUCGUAGGGGGAAAUUGAGUGGUGUUUUAGAGUAUGUCUUUAGGACUGGUUAUGAAAGAAUUUUUGUUUUAUGAACAGCAAUUGAUCGUUAGAAUAUUGACUUCGAGCAUAAAAUGAGGUCAUUUUGUUAGGUAUGAUGUUUUGAUUGUAAACUUGGAGCUUCGAGUGAAGAGCAGAGAGUUACAAUCUUGCUUCUUCUCAUACAGCUCCAUAAAACAAUAGCCGUUUAUCAAACAGGAAUGAAACCAAUUUCAUUCUUUUUGUAAAUUUUUAUGGCAUAAAUUCGUUUGACAUUAUCAACAACAUUGGUAUUAAAUCAGUUUACGCAGAUGAUAGUUGAAGGUUUUCGCUAGUAUUUUUUUCUUCACCAAAGUUUGAACUCUGGUCCUUUAAUCCUUUGCUCAAACCAGUUAAACUACCCAACCUAUGAAAUAAGCAAAGAUAAGUGUUAGAAACUAAGACCUGGCAAGCUAAACAAUAAAUGCUUGGACGCAAAGAUAAGCGUUAGAAUUUAAGGCCUGGCAAGCGAAACAAUAAAAGCUUAGACUUAACUGCUACUGUGGGAAUGGCCACGUUCUGCUUUUUUUCUUUCUUUCUUUCUUCCUUCAGAAUUGGUAAUCUAAGGGUGUAAAUCUAUUAACACUUCUCGCACUCUUCAAUAAUUGUGUCUUGUAUAAUAAAAUAAACCACUUUAUUUUGUUAAAUAUAAAUUCUAUUAUAUUGAUUUAUUUUCAGGGCAACAAUGGCAUCCAUCUCAGCUGUGAAUAUUUCCCCACUAUGCAUGUUUCAACCCGCAAACCGCAUUCAAUCAACCAGCACUACCUUAGUGAAGUGCCCUUCCGCUUUUGGCUCUAUGAGAAGUGUUUCCAGAUCUUUUGGCUUGAAGUCAUCCUCUUCAUAUAGAACAACUGCCAUGGCUGCU